UUUUAUUCUUUGAGAGAAAAUUUUGGUACAAGGAUCUCCAUAUUUUGAAGAUUCUAUACCAGUGCAUAUAAUGUUGAUACCUGAUCCUUUCUUUAAUUUCAGGUUAUUACUGAAUAUCUUCAAAAAAUUGAUCCUAAGUUGGAUGGUGCAAAGAUGGAUUGGGUUGCUAUUUAUGAUGAAUGUGCCUUUGUCUUAUAUCAGGUGAUGAAUGCUGCAAAGUGGCCCACAUAUAUUUCUUUAACACCGGGAAUGAUUCGUUGGCUCAGUGCUACUGUUUGAUCAUGUUGUUACGGAUUCGAGGCUGAAUUUUAUCAUCUAUUAAGUAAACUAAUCUAUUUUGUGUUCCAGGUAUAUACUGAGUGUUUUGAUCAGAAUAUAGGGUAAUAGAUACUUAUCCAAUGUUUUGAUUCUAUAUAUAAAUCUCAAAUCUCAUUUGAUUAUAUAUCAAUGUCAUGAUAAACAAAAUUAACUAUACUUAGAUACCUAUAUCAGAAUAUAUGAAUCCCUUCAUUUAUAUCAAGAGCCUAUACAGACCAACUAAGAUACUACUACAAGUUUUUAAUGUUUUCAUCUAAUGCUGCACCAGGUAUUUGACAAAACUCCUUUAUUUGCAAUGUAACAACAUUUAAUGAUUUAUGCUUGGUUCAGUGAUGUAGUAACACUUUAUUUAUAGAAAAACUAUAUAUACUACUAUGUUUCUCUGAUGGUAGAAGUUAUAUCUUUGUGCACUUUAAUGAUUUUAUGAUUUAUUGUUAUAGUCAGCUAAAAAAUGAGCUUAACGAGGAGAAUUCGUAGCUUGCAGAGGAAAAUCUAUAAAAGGAACCUCAUAACAUGGAACUUAGGAAUUAGGUAAGAUCACACUCAUCUGCAUUCAUCUUGGUACCAUGUCGUCGGGGUUCAAAUAUUUAAAUAGCUCUCUUAAAAUUUGUUAAUCAAGAUUGGAUGAUGCCGACCUGCUGACAGCGUGAAUGCAGGAGUUCACUACCUGUGGGAGUUAAUUCCUAAUAAGCAAAAUUCUAUGCUGGUUUACAUUUGUUUCUUUCGUACUUUCAAAUCAACACAUUAGAGGUAAGGAUUUAAAACACAAACGAAUGCUAAUUGAUGUCGGUGAUGUCCUUAUUCAAGAAAUUCGAGAUUAUGACAUAGAUGAUAAAAGAUUGAUGAGUGUCAUUGGCAAAUCUGUCAUUGGCUAACUCAAGUUAUGGCUUAUAUUUUUUCUGUUAUAUAAGUUCAGGCGACAAUGAUCUAAUCGUUAACGAGCGAAUUACUGAUGGCGAUGUUGGCGUGAUUCCGGAAUCUACAUUUCUGUCUAUCUACCCUUAUGUUAAUAUUGAUGACAAUGUUGGUGUGAUUCUGGAAUCUACUAGCUUCUGGUGCAUGUUAAAUUUAUUUGUAUUAAUGUUUAUUUUUAGUAAGCAUUUU
This is a long non-coding RNA of Vicia villosa (hairy vetch), 1422 nucleotides long. RefSeq lists it as uncharacterized. Lineage: Eukaryota; Viridiplantae; Streptophyta; Magnoliopsida; Fabales; Fabaceae. The record is from RefSeq and is a predicted model, not a curated record. The transcript is spliced from 3 exons.